GCACUGGCGGCACUGCCUCUCGGUGGUGUCACUGCCAAUGCUGAUUCACUGUCUUUCGACUGAGACGUGGAAUAGUCCAUGGACUAUCCUUUAUUAUUGCCAAUAUGACUUUCUCUAACAUCGCUGUCAUCAUUAAUGUCACUGUCUCUCACUGAUAUUAAUGUCGCUAUUAAGGCACUAUUUUUUGUUGUCAUUACCACGGUUACUGUUUUCCGUGUCUCAGUUAUAACAGUGAUUAGGAGUAAAUGUCACUGGGGUGUUCACCUACAAGUGGAUCACGACUUUCUGGCAGCGUGAGCGUCGGCGGCACGAGAAGAGGAAGUUAAAGCUGGAGAGGCACAAGAAACGCUGAAGUGUGUCUGCCUUUCCUCGUCUGCUGUGCGUCUGCUCGUCUGCCAGGACUGACUGACUGACUGACUGUUUGACUGCCGCGAAGGAACUGGUGCAUCGACAGUCUUGUUUUGGGGUCCCGGGUCGUUCGUUAGCUAGUAUAAGGAUGGCCGACUGGGUACUGAGAGUGAAGGUACUCGUAACGUUGCGUACGACCAGUUUCGCGUGGAGAUAACACACCCACUCUUGAGUCGUGUGGCUGUUUUAUCUGCGAGGUACGACCACCCCGGCGUUCAGAGGUAGUCCCUGUGUUAAGAACGACGUUUCAUAGUCUGGGCUUUGCGUGUGAUGUGUAAGGAACGACUACUGACUACCCAGUGGGAGGUAAUACGUACAUCUUCUGCCAAGUAAAUGUUCUCGUGAGGUACGACCACUAGAAAAGAGGGUCGUGUGGAGUACGACCCUAUUGGUGAUCUGUGUACACUAUGUUGAGGAAAAUAAAUCUGUAUUAGGAA
Long non-coding RNA from Penaeus monodon (black tiger shrimp), 845 nucleotides. RefSeq lists it as uncharacterized. The transcript is spliced from 2 exons. The record is from RefSeq and is a predicted model, not a curated record. NCBI's taxonomy places the organism in Eukaryota, Metazoa, Arthropoda, Malacostraca, Decapoda, Penaeidae.